Molecule: transfer RNA, 73 nt
Filed under: Mustela putorius furo (domestic ferret)
Lineage: Eukaryota; Metazoa; Chordata; Mammalia; Carnivora; Mustelidae
Rfam family: tRNA
About the family: Transfer RNA (tRNA) molecules are approximately 80 nucleotides in length. Their secondary structure includes four short double-helical elements and three loops (D, anti-codon, and T loops). Further hydrogen bonds mediate the characteristic L-shaped molecular structure. tRNAs have two regions of fundamental functional importance: the anti-codon, which is responsible for specific mRNA codon recognition, and the 3' end, to which the tRNAs corresponding amino acid is attached (by aminoacyl-tRNA synthetases). tRNAs cope with the degeneracy of the genetic code in two manners: having more than one tRNA (with a specific anti-codon) for a particular amino acid; and 'wobble' base-pairing, i.e. permitting non-standard base-pairing at the 3rd anti-codon position.
Source: Rfam by way of RNAcentral
GCCUGGCUGGCUCAGUUUGAAGAGCAUGCGACUCUUAAUCUUGGGGUCAUGGGUUCAAUCCCCACGUUGGGUG